UGGCCUACGGGACGCAGCAGUGAGGAAUAUUGGUCAAUGGGCGCAAGCCUGAACCAGCCAAGUCGCGUGAGGGAUGACGGUCCUAUGGAUUGUAAACCUCUUUUGUCGGGGAGCAAGGCCCGCCACGUGUGGCGGGAAGGAGAGUACCCGAAGAAAAAGCAUCGGCUAACUCCGUGCCAGCAGCCGCGGGAAUACGGAGGAUGCGAGCGUUAUCCGGAUUUAUUUGGUUUAAAGGGUGCGUAGGCGGAAGGUUAAGUCAGCGGUCAAAUGUCGGUGCUCAACACCGGCCGUCCGUUGCAACUGGG
RNAcentral lists this ribosomal RNA (305 nucleotides) under uncultured bacterium. Its description in RNAcentral is "bacterial SSU rRNA". It matches the Rfam family "Bacterial small subunit ribosomal RNA", at positions 335 to 637 of the family's 1533-position model. The record is from RNAcentral.